GCCUUUCUCUGCCGCGAGGCCGGCUCGGCCAGGGCGGGCUCUCCUCACUCGCCUCUGUGUGCCGCCCUCAGGGGACGAGAAAAGCCUGACCUCGGCCCAGCUGCCAGGGAACGGUUGGCUUCGGUUCCGGGGCUGGUCUCUGUGAUCCGAACUGAGACUUCAUUGUUGGAGAAUUCUCACAGGGAGUUAAUGGAAUAGUGUAUUUAAUGCUUGGCAGUAUAGCUGAAGUCUGAAUUGUCAAAGAUGAAACUUUUAAUGUCAGAGUGACUACCAAAACAGGACUGCUGAGCAGUUGAACAGUCUGGCUUGUCCAAAACCGGCUUCCUCAACACAACCAUGGCAUCUGAGACAUAGGCUGGAGAGAAAUAGUUCCUAAAGAAGACCAAGCAAUCUGACUACCUGGAGAACUUCAAAGAGUGCGUUAACCUAUGCUUGAAGAAACACGGCUCCGAACAGUUUGGCUCUGACUACAGACGCGGAAAAGUAAAUUAUUGCAAAACCUACCACCCAAAAAAAAAAAAAA
Molecule: long non-coding RNA, 523 nt
Organism: Pogoniulus pusillus (Red-fronted tinkerbird)
Lineage: Eukaryota; Metazoa; Chordata; Aves; Piciformes; Lybiidae
Exons: 4
Source: RefSeq, a predicted model, not a curated record